RNAcentral lists this ribosomal RNA (468 nucleotides) under uncultured bacterium. Its description in RNAcentral is "partial 16S ribosomal RNA". It matches the Rfam family "Bacterial small subunit ribosomal RNA", at positions 28 to 507 of the family's 1533-position model. The record is from RNAcentral.
GACGAACGCUGGCGGCGUGCUUAACACAUGCAAGUCGAACGGAAAGGCCCUGCUUUUGUGGGGUGCUCGAGUGGCGAACGGGUGAGUAGCACGUGAGUAACCUGCCCUUGACUUUGGGAUAACUUCAGGAAACUGGGGCUAAUACCGGAUAGGAGCUCCUGCUGCAUGGUGGGGGUUGGAAAGUUUCGGCGGUUGGGGAUGGACUCGCGGCUUAUCAGCUUGUUGGGUGGGUAGUGGCUUACCAAGGCUUUGACGGGUAGCCGGGCUGAGAGGGGGACCGGCCACAUUGGGACUGGGCUACGGCCCAGCCUCCUACGGGAGGCAGCAGUGGGGAAUAUUGCACUAUGGGCGGAAGCCUGAUGCAGCACCGCCGCGUGCGGGAUGACGGCCUUCGGGUUGUAAUCCGCUUUCGCCUGUGACGAAGCGUGAGUGACGGUAAUGGGUAAAGAAGCACCGGCUAACUACGUG